CCUACGGGUGGCAGCAGUGAGGAAUAUUGGUCAAUGGACGAGAGUCUGAACCAGCCCAGUAGCGUGAAGGAUGACUGCCCUAUGGGUUGUAAACUUCUUUUAUAAAGGACUAAAACGAGGCACGUGUGCCUUUUUGCAUGUACUUUAUGAAUAAGGAUCGGCUAACUCCGUGCCAGCAGCCGCGGUAAUACGGAGGAUCCGAUCGUUAUCCGGAUUUAUUGGGUUUAAAGGGAGCGUAGAUGGGUUGUUAAUUCAGCGGUAAAAUGUCCGGGCUCAACCCGGGCCGGCCGUUGAAACUGGGGAUCGUGAGUGGGCGAGAAGUAUGCGGAAUGCGUGGUGUAGCGGUGAAAUGCAUAGAUAUCACGCAGAACUCCGAUUGCGAAGGCAGCAUACCGGCGCCCGACUGACGCUGAGGCACGAAAGCGUGGGGAUCGAACAGGAUUAGAUACCCCGGUAGUC
This 459-nucleotide ribosomal RNA is filed under the name uncultured bacterium. Its description in RNAcentral is "partial 16S ribosomal RNA". It matches the Rfam family "Bacterial small subunit ribosomal RNA", at positions 338 to 795 of the family's 1533-position model. The record is from RNAcentral.